AUGACUGUCGUCAUACCAACCGCAAUCGAGAUCGAGCACCAUUUGCAAAUGGCUCUGCUCCCGUGCUCCCUGAAAUGCGCUACUACUCAGCGUCGCCUCCUGCGUGUCUUCAUCGUCUCUCUCCUUCUCCACCAUGCCGACUCCCUCAGCUUCCGGUACGACUCCAUCAACACAACCAACAAGGUCGAUUUCGGCGCGCUCGGGGACGACUGCAACAUCAGCGAUCACAGGGCCGACCUCACCAGCAUAAGCGCCAAUAACUACACCAACAACCUCGGCCGCCUGGUGUACCCCAAGCUGGUGCAACUCUGGGACGCUGCCACCGGCGAGACGGCCAGCUUCACCACCACCUUCUCCUUCGGCAUGGACGCCGUGCCGGGGCAGCCGGUUGGCCAUGGCAUGGCCUUCUUCCUCACCUCUCAAGUCGACGUCCCGUCUGGCCUACCCGCGGGGUCCUAUGGCGGCUACCUCGGCCUCUUCAGUCCUGGCGCCACCGGCGGUGACCAUGUUGUCGCCGUGGAGUUCGACACGUUCAGGGACGAGUGGGACCCCAGCGACCAUCACAUCGGAGUCGAUCUUAACAACAUCAGCUCGUUCGGCAGCUACACCACCUUGCCGAACGACAGCUUCGUCGGCCGGGUCAUGUCCGCGCGGAUCGACUACAACAGCGGCACGGGCCAGCUCGAUGUCAUGCUGCACAACGGCAGCAGCGACGGCGCGACCCAUGAUCUCAGCGUCAAUGUUGACCUGCGAAGCUUCCUGCCGGAGCAGGUAAGCGUCGGCUUUUCAGCGGCGACGAACUCAGAGCGGGUCGCGCUGCACUACGUGCUGUCCUGGUCUUUCAACUCUUCGCUGCCACUGGCUGCAAAAUCAACUCAAAAAUCACAACCGCGGCGCACUGCUGUGCCGCUCGUGGCCGGUGUCACCGUGGCAACGGUGCUGGCUCUCCUUCUAAGCACGGCGGUAGGGGUGCUGCUGUGGCGGUCGAGACGCCAGGAGCGCUCUGCCGACGACGACGACGACGGCGACGACGAGGACCCGUGGCCGAUCGACGAGGACCUCGAGUCCGGGUCGGGACCACGGCCGUUCCAGCUGAGCAAGCUGACGGCGGCGACAAGAAACUUCUCUGAGGAGACAAAGCUCGGGCAGGGCGCGUCCGGGUCGGUGUACCGCGGUCGCGUCGAUGAGCUCGACGUGGCUAUCAAGGUGUUCUCCAGGGGUGGCUCGGCGCAGGGGAAGCGAGAGUACACGGCGGAGGUCACCGUCAUCAGCCGGCUGCGGCACCGCAACCUGGUGCAUCUCAUAGGCUGGUGCGAUGGCCGCAAGAAGCUCCUCCUCGUCUACGAGCUCGUGCCCAACGGAAGCCUCGACCGGCACCUCUAUAGCGCAACGGCGGUGCUGCCAUGGCCGGCGAGGUACAAGAUCAUUCUCGGGCUCGGCGCCGCCGUGCUGUACCUGCACGAGGAGUGGGGCCAGUGCGUCGUCCACGGCGACAUAAAGCCGAGCAACAUUAUGCUCGACCAGUCCUUUGGCGCCAAGCUAGGCGACUUCGGCCUCGCACGGCUCAUCGACCACGGCGUCGGCCUGCAGACCAUGACCGCCGUGGCCGGCACGCCUGGGUACCUCGACCCGGAGUGCAUCGCCACGGGGAAGGCGAGCACCGAGUCCGACGUGUACAGCUUCGGCGUCGUGCUCCUGGAGGUCGCCACCGGCAGGCGGCCCAUGGCGCCGCCCCCGCCGGGCGACACGAGGAUCUUCCGGCUGGUGGAGUGGGCAUGGGGAAUGUAUGGUCGAGACGCGGUGCUGGACGCGGCCGACGAGGCGCUGUGCGGACAGUUUGACGCUCGGGAGGUGGAGCUCGUGCUGGUGAUCGGGUUGUGGUGCGCACACCCCGACGCCAGGGCGCGGCCGAGCAUCAGGGAAGCAGUCGAGGUGCUGCGCUCGGGGAUGGCCGCCAGGGUGCCGGCGCUUCCCCCUCGGAUGCCCGUGGCCAUGUACGUGCAGCCUUACGAUCCGGCUGACAAGCAUGUCGCGGACGACGCGUCGAAGGCAAACCACGGGAUGAGCUCUCACGAUUACGGCCGCCAGCCUCCGGCCGCCGACGACUACCAGACGCUGUCUACCACCUCGAGCAUUCCUCCGGUUGGGUCAAAACAGUCGGUUCGUUUGCUGAGCGGAAGGUAG
Molecule: ribosomal RNA, 2184 nt
Filed under: Triticum aestivum (bread wheat)
Lineage: Eukaryota; Viridiplantae; Streptophyta; Magnoliopsida; Poales; Poaceae
Description: partial small subunit ribosomal RNA
Source: RNAcentral